UGGUCAAGUUAUUAAGGGUGCAGGGCGGAUGCCUUGGCACUAGGAGCCGAUGAAGGACG
RNAcentral lists this ribosomal RNA (59 nucleotides) under Clostridioides difficile. RNAcentral describes it as "partial 23S ribosomal RNA". The record is from RNAcentral. Lineage: Bacteria; Bacillati; Bacillota; Clostridia; Peptostreptococcales; Peptostreptococcaceae.